RNAcentral lists this ribosomal RNA (429 nucleotides) under uncultured bacterium. Its description in RNAcentral is "bacterial SSU rRNA". It matches the Rfam family "Bacterial small subunit ribosomal RNA", at positions 82 to 507 of the family's 1533-position model. The record is from RNAcentral.
UGAUAGGCGUCGACCGGCGCACGGGUGAGUAACGCGUAUCCAACCUGCCCAUCACUUGGGGGAUAACCUUGUGAAAGUAAGACUAAUACCCAAUGACGUCUCUAGAAGACAUCUGAAGGAGAUUAAAGAUUUUAUCGGUGAUGGAUGGGGAUGCGUCUGAUUAGCUUGUUGGCGGGGUAACGGCCCACCAAGGCGACGAUCAGUAGGGGUUCUGAGAGGAAGGUCCCCCACAUUGGAACUGAGACACGGUCCAAACUCCUACGGGAGGCAGCAGUGAGGAAUAUUGGUCAAUGGACGAGAGUCUGAACCAGCCAAGUAGCGUGCAGGAUGACGGCCCUAUGGGUUGUAAACUGCUUUUACAAGGGAAUAAAGUGAGUCUCGUGAGACUUUUUGCAUGUACCUUAUGAAUAAGGACCGGCUAAUUCCGUG